GGUCUUCAUUGGCCUUCCUGACUCAUCGACAAUAGAGGUUAUGCAUUGGUAUUCAAUGGAUCCUGAUAAUGGAGGUUAUGCAUUGGUAUUCAGUAGAUCCUAUCAAGGAUAGGGAUAAAAAUGGGUUAGAUCAGAUCGAAUCAUGAGUAAUCCUGAUUCGAUCUGAUUCUUUGAUCGGAUCUUGAUACUGAAUCCAGAUCCAACCUAGUAG
Molecule: long non-coding RNA, 211 nt
Filed under: Elaeis guineensis (African oil palm)
Lineage: Eukaryota; Viridiplantae; Streptophyta; Magnoliopsida; Arecales; Arecaceae
Description: long non-coding RNA (EGUI_LNC033579)
Source: RNAcentral